GUGGGGAAUAUUGGACAAUGGGCGAAAGCCUGAUCCAGCAAUGCCGCGUGAGUGAAGAAGGCCUUCGGGUUGUAAACUGCUUUUGUACGGAACGAAACGGUCCUGGUUAAUACCUGGGGCUAAUGACGGUACCGUAAGAAUAAGUACCGGCUAACUACGUGCCAGCAGCCGCGGUAAUACGUAGGGUGCGAGCGUUAAUCGGAAUUACUGGGCGUAAAGCGUGCGCAGGCGGUGCUGUAAGACAGGCGUGAAAUCCCCGGGCUCAACCUGGGAAUUGCGCUUGUGACUGCAGUGCUGGAGUACGGCAGAGGGGGAUGGAAUUCCGCGUGUAGCAGUGAAAUGCGUAGAUAUGCGGAGGAACACCGAUGGCGAAGGCAGUCCCCUGGGCCUGUACUGACGCUCAUGCACGAAAGCGUGGGGAGCAAACAGGAUUAGAUACCCGAGUAGUCC
RNAcentral lists this ribosomal RNA (450 nucleotides) under uncultured bacterium. RNAcentral's name for it is "partial 16S ribosomal RNA". It matches the Rfam family "Bacterial small subunit ribosomal RNA", at positions 354 to 796 of the family's 1533-position model. The record is from RNAcentral.